GGAUGCGACCAUACCAGGACUAAAGCACCAGAUCCCAUCAGAACUCCGAAGUUAAGCGUGCUUGGGUGAGAAUAGUAUUAGGAUGGGUGACCUCUUGAGAAGUCCUCGUGUUGCAUUCC
Non-coding RNA from Triticum aestivum (bread wheat), 119 nucleotides. Lineage: Eukaryota; Viridiplantae; Streptophyta; Magnoliopsida; Poales; Poaceae. The record is from Rfam.